GAGGACCGGGAUGGACAUACCUCUGGUGUACCAGUUGUCGUGCCAACGGCAUAGCUGGGUAGCUAUGUAUGGACGGGAUAAGUGCUGAAAGCAUCUAAGCAUGAAGCCCCCCUCGAGAUGAGAUUUCCCAACUUCGGUUAUAAGAUCCCUCAAAGAUGAUGAGGUGAAUAGGUUCGAGGUGGAAGCGUAGCGAUACGUGGAGCUGACGAAUACUAAUCGAUCGAAGACUUAAUCAAU
RNAcentral lists this ribosomal RNA (237 nucleotides) under Staphylococcus pseudintermedius. RNAcentral's name for it is "partial 23S ribosomal RNA". It matches the Rfam family "Bacterial large subunit ribosomal RNA", at positions 2687 to 2925 of the family's 2925-position model. Lineage: Bacteria; Bacillati; Bacillota; Bacilli; Caryophanales; Staphylococcaceae. The record is from RNAcentral.